GAGGCUAUAGCUCAGUGGUAGAGUGUGUGCUUAGCAUGCAUGAGGUCCUGGGUUCAAUCCCCAGUACCUCCA
This 72-nucleotide transfer RNA is filed under the name Camelus bactrianus (Bactrian camel). It matches the Rfam family "tRNA". From Rfam's summary of the family: Transfer RNA (tRNA) molecules are approximately 80 nucleotides in length. Their secondary structure includes four short double-helical elements and three loops (D, anti-codon, and T loops). Further hydrogen bonds mediate the characteristic L-shaped molecular structure. tRNAs have two regions of fundamental functional importance: the anti-codon, which is responsible for specific mRNA codon recognition, and the 3' end, to which the tRNAs corresponding amino acid is attached (by aminoacyl-tRNA synthetases). tRNAs cope with the degeneracy of the genetic code in two manners: having more than one tRNA (with a specific anti-codon) for a particular amino acid; and 'wobble' base-pairing, i.e. permitting non-standard base-pairing at the 3rd anti-codon position. Lineage: Eukaryota; Metazoa; Chordata; Mammalia; Artiodactyla; Camelidae. RNAcentral also lists the same sequence under 2 other names. The record is from Rfam by way of RNAcentral.